AUACGGAGGGUCCGAGCGUUAUCCGGAAUCAUUGGGUUUAAAGGGUCCGUAGGCGGGAAUCUAAGUCAGUGGUGAAAUCUUGCAGCUCAACCGUAAAAUUGCCAUUGAUACUGGAUUUCUUGAAUUAGUGUGAAGUGGUUAGAAUGUGUAGUGUAGCGGUGAAAUGCAUAGAUAUUCCACAGAAUACCAAUUGCGAAGGCAGAUCACUAACACUAUAUUGACGCUCAGGGACGAAAGCGUGGGGAGCGAACAGGAUUAGAUACCCCAGUAGUCC
Molecule: ribosomal RNA, 274 nt
Filed under: uncultured bacterium
Lineage: Bacteria
Description: partial 16S ribosomal RNA
Rfam family: Bacterial small subunit ribosomal RNA
Source: RNAcentral